RNAcentral lists this ribosomal RNA (78 nucleotides) under Littorella uniflora. RNAcentral's name for it is "partial 28S ribosomal RNA". It matches the Rfam family "Eukaryotic large subunit ribosomal RNA", at positions 1 to 72 of the family's 3401-position model. The record is from RNAcentral. Lineage: Eukaryota; Viridiplantae; Streptophyta; Magnoliopsida; Lamiales; Plantaginaceae.
UCGACCGCGACCCCAGGUCAGACGGGACUACCCGCUGAGUUUAAGCAUAUCAAUAAGCGGUGAGAAGAAACUUACAAG